GAUGAACGCUGGCGGCGUGCCUAAUACAUGCAGGUCGAGCGAAAAGACGAGAGUGCUUGCACGCUAUGGCGUGAGAGGCGGGCGGGUGAGAAACACGCGGGGAACCUAACUAUAAGACGGGGAAAAAUGCGGGAAAACGGAGGUAAUAACGGAAAAUAAUUAGCUUGGCAAGACGCGAGAGUGAAAGACGGUUCGGGUGUGAAUGAGAGAUGGACCCGCGGUGUAUUAGCUAGUUGGUGGGGUAACGGCUCACCAAGGCAACGAUACGUAGCCGACCUGAGAGGGUGAUCGGCCACACUGGAACUGAGACACGGCCCAGACUCCUACGGGAGGCAGCAGUGGGGAAUCUUCCGCAAUGGACGCAAGUCUGACCCAGCCAUGCCGCGUGAGUGAAGAAGGUUUUCGGAUCGUAAAGCUCUUUUGUUAGGGAAGAACAGGUACGUGUUUAACUGCACGUACCUUGACGGUACCUUACCAGAAAGCCACGGCUAACUACGUG
This 499-nucleotide ribosomal RNA is filed under the name uncultured bacterium. Its description in RNAcentral is "partial 16S ribosomal RNA". It matches the Rfam family "Bacterial small subunit ribosomal RNA", at positions 28 to 507 of the family's 1533-position model. The record is from RNAcentral.